AAUAGAUACCCCGGUAGUCCACGCCGUAAACGAUGAGUGCUAAGUGUUGGGGGGUUUCCGCCCCUCAGUGCUGCAGCUAACGCAUUAAGCACUCCGCCUGGGGAGUACGGUCGCAAGACUGAAACUCAAAGGAAUUGACGGGGGCCGGCACAAGCGGUGGAGCAUGUGGUUUAAUUCGAAGCAACGCGAAGAACCUUACCAGGUCUUGACAUCCCGGUGACCACUAUGGAGACAUAGUUUCCCCUUCGGGGGCAACGGUGACAGGUGGUGCAUGGUUGUCGUCAGCUCGUGUCGUGAGAUGUUGGGUUAAGUCCCGCAACGAGCGCAACCCUUAUUCUUAGUUGCCAUCAUUCAGUUGGGCACUCUAAGGAGACUGCCGGUGAUAAACCGGAGGAAGGUGGGGAUGACGUCAAAUCAUCAUGCCCCUUAUGACCUGGGCUACACACGUGCUACAAUGGACGGUACAAACGGUUGCCAACCCGCGAGGGGAGCUAAUCCGAUAAAACCGUUCUCAGUUCGGAUUGUAGGCUGCAACUCGCCUAC
RNAcentral lists this ribosomal RNA (543 nucleotides) under uncultured bacterium. Its description in RNAcentral is "bacterial SSU rRNA". It matches the Rfam family "Bacterial small subunit ribosomal RNA", at positions 777 to 1319 of the family's 1533-position model. The record is from RNAcentral.